Molecule: long non-coding RNA, 3098 nt
Organism: Chelonia mydas (Green sea turtle)
Lineage: Eukaryota; Metazoa; Chordata; Testudines; Cheloniidae
Exons: 2
Source: RefSeq, a predicted model, not a curated record
UAAAUGAUUAUCAGCCAAGAAUAAUAUGUAAUUUAAAAAUGCAUUUUAAUUUCCUUAUUGGUCAAAAUGUCAAAGACUGCUAAACUAAUCUUACUGUUUUUCCCUGCGAUCUUUUUCAUUUACCUGUUCAAUAUAAACUCUGUCCAGAUCUAUCAGUCCUCCAUCCAGCUGGUAACUCUUAAUACACAUCAGCAUGUCCAAAUGAUCUACUUGUAAACAAUUCUGCAGUUUGUUUUUUAGAGUGUUCAUUAAGCUAACGCCGUGCUCACAGUCUGCACUUGAUGCUAGGAAUGUUCCUCCAAUAUCAAUCAACUUUGCAAGAUCCUGAAACUGCUCGUUCUGGUGAGCAAAUGUCACCAUAUCCAGGAAACUUAAAACCAAUUGGCUUUUGAGUCUUUCGGCUACUACAAACUUGAAGUCGUUGUAUUGACUGACUAUAACAAUCUCUUCAGCAAGAAAGUCUUUGUAUUUUGAACAUAGGGAUUUGACCUGAUGAAUUCCAAAAUUUGAAGUCACACUUAACUAUUGCUUCACGAUCAAAAGCGGACCACUCCUGGACUUCAUCCUCUGGAAACCUGUCUGCCAAAUGUGCACACAAGAUGUUUAUGAAAGUUAUUAUAGAAAUUGGUAUAGAAUUGGUAUCGAUUUUCAUUAUUUUCUUGAGAGCUCAUAUCUAAGAGAGCCUUAACUUUGUCACUCCAUAAGACUGAAUCUCCAAGGUACUGUCUUCUGACAUUGUUCAGUUUACCUCGGGCAAGGUGAAAUGCUUCAAGAGGUGUAAGGCCCCGUUUCUGGAGCUGUGUGGAUAGUGAAGUCAGCUCUGACAAAGCAUCAUUCAAAACUUCUAAUGUUAUUCGGUAUUCCAUAGUAUUCAGCUUUUUGUGGCAGUAUUUAGAAACUGGAUCAGUAUCUUUAUCUUGCCCAAAAUAUUCCAGAAGAGGAUUAUAGUUGCGAAUAAUUGCUUGAAGUGCAACGUGCCUAGAUAACCAGCGCACUUCAUUGAGUGGCCUGAAAGCCACUGACUCGCAUUCAGAAGCAUCCACUAUUUUCUGAAAUUUGUAUUUUCUCCUGGAUGACCAACAGAACGCCAUGUAGACAGUUCUCAUUAAGGUUUCGAUUGUCUCUUAUCAGAUUGACCUCUUUCCAUGCAUCGGAAAUCCCCAAGUCUUCCUGGUGUGCAACGUAAUGUUGCUGGACUAAGUGUGGAAUAUCCUGUUUCAGCUGAGCCGCCACAUCACUGAGUUUACCCAACAUCACAGAGGCACCAUCAGAUGUGAACAUCACCAUUUUCAUUAGAUCAAGUUGGUGUUUUUUAUAAAACUCUUUGAUUGCAGACACUAUUGAAACAGCAUCACAUUCUUGCAAUCUUAAUAGUCCACCAAACAAAGUUUUAUAAUCUGCAGAAUUUAUGGAUCUAUAUUUAAAGUAGAGUAUCAAAUAUCUGUGAAUGGAUAUAUCAGUGCUUUCAUCAACAGCUACAGUAGGAAACGUUGCCGUUGCUAUUUCACGCAUAAGGUCAUUUUGGACAAUGCAGUUGAUGAUUUCAAGAAAUUCAAAAACGUGAUUUUUACUUCUCCAGCUCGCUGGUCUGUGCACAUUCUUUUCCAUAUUGUCAUUAAUAUCCUGAACAGAAAGCACUGAGCUGUGCAUUUUAAUAGCCAACAACACAUUGUCAAUAAGUACCUUGAUUUCUUCUGGGUUUGAGUGCUUGCGUUCAAGAUUAAUUUGCCUCCUCUGCUUUUCAGCUGGACUUUCAAGAAUCAUGGAAACCAUUCCAUUCCGUAAGGAAGGGUUUUUGUUUCUAAGUCUUGUUACACCAUCUAUAUGUGACUUAUUUGACAGAUGAUGCUUUAAGAAAUCCAACAUCCAUACAUCGUUCCACAUUCUUCCUGUUGAAAAUUUUCCCGGAGCUCUGGCAUCUCAACAAUAUAAACAAACCACUCCGUUGUCCUCCUCAUAUGUGAAUAUUUCACGAAGUUUAAUAGGCAUUACACUAUGUGACUUUGGUGUAACUGUCUCUAUAGUCUCAUCCAACCAUCCAGAUUUAAAUGAAGUCGCUGUUCUUUCACGCUUUAGACCUCUAGACAGUGACAUUUUGGGACUGAUUUUUUUUACCAAAUUGGUUCAUAUAAAAUUAAUACUUUUUAUUAUAUGGCUACUAUUUCAAUGCGCUUAAUAGCGUGACUCGACAAAAGGUCAAACGGGAGAUCAUUCCGAUCAGGAUACCGGAAGUUUGUGCAUAGCUCCGAUCACGUCCAUCUCUCUGUGGCAAAAAAACGACGGGAAAAUGGUAAAACAUCACAAGUAAAUGGAUGAAGUCCAAUGCCUUUGAAAAAUUUCAAUCACGAAAAAAACGCUUACCUUUGUUCAUUUCUGGGAACUCUUUGCAGUUCCUUAGCAACUACCGCCAGGCAUUUUGACUUAUUCGCAUGUGCUUGAGUUUGUACACAGCCAAAUGAACAGACUACAAGGAGAUGUGUGGGUCUCCUCCUCCCGACCGUCCCGACAUGAUCAACGUUCCACGUUCAAAAUGCUGGCGGGGAGGGGAAUUCGGAAGUGCCUGAAGACGUGCAUGACACGAUCGCUGAAAUCAGCUCCUGUCGAUAAUUGUUUUAAAAAUUCUAAAUAAUGCCCUGAUCUAAAAGUUGAAUUUUUGAUGUUGUGUUGAAUGGUAGGUAUAGCACUCACAUUUUUCCAUCGCUCGAUACCAGUGAUUCGGCUGGAAGAUGGGCUGAACAAUUGUCAAGUAGCAAAAGUGCUUUGGCUUUGAGUUUCUUCGACCACAGAUGCUUACGAACAGCUGAAACAAAGCUGUUGUGGAACCAGUUGUUGAAAAUGUCUUGUCAUCCAAGCAUUUUUGCUCUUCGUGUAUAUUACUGGCAGUUUGGCUCUACUGAGGUGAUUAAAGCAGCGAGGGUUAUGAAAGUGGCCAACGAGAAGAGGGGAGGGGCAAGCUUUUGGCUGCCUGUCUUAUUACUACAAAAAAAGUCACAUGAUCUUUUAUCUUUUUAAAUCCAGCUGUUUUCUGUCUGUCGUAAUUAAAAGCUAAAGUCUUAUCAGAUAGCAGUUUUGCAAAUAAAGCUGUUUCAUCACAAUUA